UGAUGAUGGUAAGGACAAUUUCUAAGCAUACUCUUAAAUCUCUGCUAAGCUUGGUAGAGAUUCUCUUCUUUAUUUUUUUUGAAACUCAGAAUCUUGCUUCUCAAACG
Capsicum annuum is the source of this 107-nucleotide non-coding RNA. The record is from Rfam. NCBI's taxonomy places the organism in Eukaryota, Viridiplantae, Streptophyta, Magnoliopsida, Solanales, Solanaceae.